CGGGAUGUGGCGCAGUUGGUUAGCGUGCUGGUCUGGGGGACCAGAGGCCGUGAGUUCGAGUCUCACCAUCCCGA
RNAcentral lists this transfer RNA (74 nucleotides) under Bacteroidota bacterium. Its description in RNAcentral is "Bacteroidetes bacterium tRNA-Pro". It matches the Rfam family "tRNA". From Rfam's summary of the family: Transfer RNA (tRNA) molecules are approximately 80 nucleotides in length. Their secondary structure includes four short double-helical elements and three loops (D, anti-codon, and T loops). Further hydrogen bonds mediate the characteristic L-shaped molecular structure. tRNAs have two regions of fundamental functional importance: the anti-codon, which is responsible for specific mRNA codon recognition, and the 3' end, to which the tRNAs corresponding amino acid is attached (by aminoacyl-tRNA synthetases). tRNAs cope with the degeneracy of the genetic code in two manners: having more than one tRNA (with a specific anti-codon) for a particular amino acid; and 'wobble' base-pairing, i.e. permitting non-standard base-pairing at the 3rd anti-codon position. Lineage: Bacteria; Pseudomonadati; Bacteroidota. The record is from RNAcentral. RNAcentral also lists the same sequence under 2 other names.